UCCAUUAGUAAUGGCGAAUGAACAUGGAUUGACCAUCAUCGAAUCGUGCUGCUAGAGGCAGCGCGAAGUGUGAUGUGGUGGUCACUGGAUUCGGGAUCGCCGUAGGUAGCCUAACUACGGUUGAAGUCGUCUACCCAUGGAGGGUGAAAGGCCUUUGUGGCUCCUAGCUUGACUCGAUUUCAUUGGCUGCGGAGUAGAAUUGCUUGAGGUCGCAGUUUGAAUGCGUGUGGUUAGUCUCACAUAAGUUUUUGUAUUAUGGCGAGGCCGAUAGAAUACAAGUACCGUGAGGGAAAGUUGAAAAGCACUCUGAAAAGAGAGUUCACAAGUUCGUGAAACUGCACACUGUUGAAGCGAAUGACCGGGUACGAAUUGAUGCAAUCUGUCAUGCGCAGUGCAUUGUUUUUUUGAUAGUCAGAGAGUUUUCUCUGACAUUUACUAUUAACUGUGAUACCUGAUGUAAUGUGCAGUAGCUGAUUGUGCAUAGGACUGCUUGCUAACGGGCCAGAUUAAUGACUGUUUCGGGACUAGGAGUUUCUUUUGUUACUCUAUGUUGGUGAUGAUUAUAUAGUGUUGGCAUGUCUGACGUUCUGAUGUGCUAUGUUCUGAGCUGGGUAGCGCUACCGAUGAGUCUGACCAAUAUUGCUGUCGUUUGGUGAUAGUGGCGUCGAUUUUGUGUUCACGGCGCUAAAGUUUAAGACGUGCAGGUCGAACUCUUACAAAGCCAAUGGGCAGUUUAUUUGUGCGCGGCAUUCGAACCGUCUUGAAACACGGACUAAGGAGUACAACUUGAGCGCGAACCUUUCCGAUGGGAAUUGUUAUGGUGAAGUGAAAUCGACUAUAUAUGAGAAAGAGAUGUUAACUGAUGAGUGUAAGCGUCAUGAUGGUAAGCGCGCUUUUUGAGUGGCACGGCUUUUUAGUUGUUGUCUGCAGUUGAGUGUUCAGGUUGUUACCCGAAAGAUGGUGAACUAUGCCUGGGCAGAAUGAAGCCAGGAGAAAUUCUGGUGGAAGUUCAUAGCGGUUUUGACGUGCAAAUCAAUCGCAAGACUCGGGUAUAGGGGCGAAGACUAAUCGAACGUCUAGUAGCUGGUUCUCUCGAAGUU
RNAcentral lists this ribosomal RNA (1100 nucleotides) under Pyriproboscis heronensis. RNAcentral describes it as "partial large subunit ribosomal RNA". It matches the Rfam family "Eukaryotic large subunit ribosomal RNA", at positions 76 to 968 of the family's 3401-position model. The record is from RNAcentral. Lineage: Eukaryota; Metazoa; Acanthocephala; Palaeacanthocephala; Echinorhynchida; Pomphorhynchidae.